This 405-nucleotide ribosomal RNA is filed under the name uncultured bacterium. RNAcentral describes it as "partial 16S ribosomal RNA". It matches the Rfam family "Bacterial small subunit ribosomal RNA", at positions 29 to 526 of the family's 1533-position model. The record is from RNAcentral.
AUUGAACGCUGGCGGCAGGCCUAACACAUGCACGUCGAGCGGAGCGGCGGACGGGUGAGUAAUGCCUAGGAAUCUGCCUGGUAGUGGGGGAUAACGUCCGGAAACGGGCGCUAAUACCGCAUACUAUCAGAUGAGCCUAGGUCGGAUUAGCUAGUUGGUGGGGUAAAGGCCUACCAAGGCGACGAUCCGUAACUGGUCUGAGAGGAUGAUCAGUAACAGUGGAAGUGAGACGCGGUACAGAAUCAUACGGGAGGCAGGAGGGGGGAAUAAGGGAAAAGGGGAGAAAGCCAGAACCAGCCAUGCCGCGUGUGAAGAAGGUAUUCGGAUUGUAAAGCACUUUAAGUUGGGAGGCGUUACCAACAGAAUAAGCACCGGCUAACUUCGUGCCAGCAGCCGCGGUAAUUC